GAAGAAAGUGAGGACGAGGAUGAAAACUUUGAUCAAGGUUUUGGACCAGCUGCGCUUGGUAGAGGAAGGGGCAGGGGAAUUGCAUGGCCUCCAAUUAUGCCUUUUGGACAUGGGCCCAGGCCUCCACCUGGGAUGCGAGGCUUCCCUCCAGGCAUGAUGGGCGAUGGGUUUUCUUAUGGAGCUAUGACACCCGAGGGUUUCCCAAUGACCGAUCAUUUUGGAAUGGGUCCCCGACCUUUUCCUCCUUAUGGCCCACGAUUUUCAAGUGAUUUGAUGUUUCAUGGCCGCCCUCCAGCUGGUGGAUUUGGGAUGAUGAUAGGUCCCGGAAGGCCCCCUUUCGUGGGCGGAAUGGGUCCGGGAGCGACAGGCCCACCCAGAGCUGGUCGAGCAGUUAGAAUGCAUCCAUCAUUCAUUCCACCCUCAUCUCAGCCUUCUCAAUAUCCUUAUAGGGCUAAAAGAGAACAGCGGGCCCCAGUUAGUGACAGGAAUGAUAGAUUUAGCUCAGAUCAAGGUAAGGGUCAGGAAAUGAUGGGUUCAGUUAAUGGACCAGAUGGAGUGCAUAUGCAAAUAGGGAAAUCUGAACACGAUAACCAGUUUGGUGCUGGAAACAGCCUAAAAAAUGACGGAAGCGAAAGCGAGGAUGAAGCACCAAGAAGAUCAAGACACGGGGAUGGAAAGAAGAAGAGGCGGGAUGUUGAUGAAGAUGCUGCAACUGGCUCAGAAAAUAGGUGUCAGUAAGUGAGAUAUAGAGGUCAUCUUGUCUCUGCAACUGUUUGUGACAUUCUUCUACGGGGAAAAUGCAACUAGCUUUUACGUAGAACCCCAUCCACCAACCUGUUUUUGCAGAUUUAGAAUGAGGGAUUCAACUUAUAUUCGUACUCUUAUGUCAGGAUCCAGUCAGAGUAUUCGGCCUUCUGAGAACUUAAGAAGAGUUCUCUAAUAUAUGUGCUGGUGUAU
This 957-nucleotide unclassified non-coding RNA is filed under the name Hevea brasiliensis (rubber tree). Lineage: Eukaryota; Viridiplantae; Streptophyta; Magnoliopsida; Malpighiales; Euphorbiaceae. The record is from RNAcentral.